Molecule: ribosomal RNA, 711 nt
Filed under: uncultured bacterium
Lineage: Bacteria
Description: bacterial SSU rRNA
Rfam family: Bacterial small subunit ribosomal RNA
Source: RNAcentral
AUUAGAUACCCUGGUAGUCCGCACGGUAAACGAUGGAUGCCCGCCGUUGGGUAUUUUUAUUCAGCGGCCAAGCGAAAGCGUUAAGCAUCCCACCUGGGGAGUACGCCGGCAACGGUGAAACUCAAAGGAAUUGACGGGGGCCCGCACAAGCGGAGGAACAUGUGGUUUAAUUCGAUGAUACGCGAGGAACCUUACCCGGGCUUGAAUUGCAGAUGACGGAUCCAGAGAUGGUGACUUCCUUCGGGACAUCUGUGAAGGUGCUGCAUGGUUGUCGUCAGCUCGUGCCGUGAGGUGUCGGCUUAAGUGCCAUAACGAGCGCAACCCCUUUCGUCAGUUGCCAUCGGGUAAUGCCGGGCACUCUGGCGACACUGCCGCCGCAAGGUGUGAGGAAGGUGGGGAUGACGUCAAAUCAGCACGGCCCUUACGUCCGGGGCUACACACGUGUUACAAUGGGGCAUACAGAGAGUUGGUCAUGCGCAAGCAUGAUCGGAUCAUGAAAGUGUCCCUCAGUUCGGACUGGGGUCUGCAACCCGACCCCACGAAGCUGGAUUCGCUAGUAAUCGCGCAUCAGCCAUGGCGCGGUGAAUACGUUCCCGGGCCUUGUACACACCGCCCGUCAAGCCAUGAAAGCCGGGGGCGCCUGAAGUCCGUGACCGCGAGGGUCGGCCUAGGGUGAAACCGGUGAUUGGGGCUAAGUCGUAACAAGGUAAC